Molecule: long non-coding RNA, 1389 nt
Organism: Bos taurus (domestic cattle)
Lineage: Eukaryota; Metazoa; Chordata; Mammalia; Artiodactyla; Bovidae
Source: Ensembl
ACGUGGGUCUGGGUUUUCAUCUCUGAGUUUACCUCUCUCAACCUCUGCCUCUCACUGUCUGCCUGUCUCUCUCACACACACACCCCACCCUGGGCACUCUUGGGUCCCACUCACCGCCUCUGCUCCUGAGUUCACCCAUUGGCUUCAUCUGGACACUGGGAGGUGGCGCCCCCAGGCCCUGACCCCCACCGGUGUCCUCAUGCGCAACCAGCAAGGGGUGCCCGGCGUGCAGCUCUGUUGGGGGGCCCCCACCCACCUGUCGCCUGCACGCGUUCGCUGUCGAUGAGACCUGAGUACUCAGAGUGAUGUGGAACCCCAGGAGGGACUGCUAGAGUCCUCAGGGGACAGGAUCCUGCUAAGCCAGCCGGGUACGUUCUAGAGACGACGUCUCUGCAGAAGCGUCUGGGGCAUCUACAGGAGCCCAGAGUCACAGCAAUCUGUUCUUCCGUGGAGGAAACCUAUUUAUCUUCCCUCCCAAUCCUCAGCAUUUUAUGACUUUUAUCAUGACAUCAGGCGGUCCGCCUUCACCUCUGCGUUUUUUUGUUUUUUUUUUUAAAUUUGUGGACGUACACCCAUCCUGCUGCUCAGCCUGGAAGGGUGCUGUCCCUCUUGAGGGGUGCUCGGGCUGACUUCAUCAGCCCCUGGAUGACUUGCGCUUUUUUUUUUUUUUCCCAUAAAUAAGUUGAGUCGGCUGUGGUCAAUUUGACAAACUCCAUCCCGACACAGAGCUGAGCAUGAAAAGCAGACAUCACACAGCCUCAAAACAGACGAAGAGGAGGAUGAAGCUCAUCAAACUGUUCUAGAAAAGUCAGAGGACCUGGGGACUAUACGGGCUUCCCAGGCGGUGCUUGUGCUAAAGAACCCGCCUGCCAAUGCAGGAGACCUAAGAGAUGCAGGUUUAACCCUGGGUCAGGAAGAUCCCCUGGAGGAGGACACAGCAACCCACUCCAGCAUUCUUGCCUGGAGAAUCCCACAGACAAAGGAGCCUGGCGGACUACAGUGCAUGGGGUCACAAAGAGUCGGGCAUGACUGAGCAACCCAGCAUGGGGACCACACAUCCACCCUCGUGCGGAGAUCCGUGUAGAAUCGCCGACAACAACGUCCGGUGCCAAGGACAGAGCGUACCAGGGACAAGUCCUAAUUGGGAUAGCAAAGUCAAAAAUAUACCAUCCCGAGCAACAGGACACAUCUGCGGUGGAUCCACACAGAAGCAAUUAAUUUCCUGGUGGUAUUUUUACACUGGGGGCCUGGUGCAGGCCCCCAUUAUACAAACAAAAACUCCAGACAGCCCUGCUGCCUGAUAAAAAAUAAAUCAGAUUGCAGAAGGGCUGUUUGGCCCAGGACUGCUACAGGCAAUGACUUGUAAUGAGGCGUCCCGACACUAAUUAU